GUCUACGGCCAUACCACCCUGAACGUGCCCGAUCUCGUCUGAUCUUGGAAGCUAAGCAGGGUCGGGCCUGGUUAGUACUUGAAUGGGAGGAAUAGACACACGCAUGUAAACU
RNAcentral lists this ribosomal RNA (112 nucleotides) under Mus spretus (western wild mouse). The record is from RNAcentral. Lineage: Eukaryota; Metazoa; Chordata; Mammalia; Rodentia; Muridae.